CGGGCCGCCUGCCAUGCAGAUGUGUGCAGCUGUGAGGUGGGGGGGGGUUAGGUAGAGAGUCUGCAAAGGGCAGUCUGCCAUCUCAUGGAGGGAUGACAGAAAUGUCUUCAUUCACAGACACUUUGACAAGAACCAGAAAAAUGAAUAUUCCUGUUUACAACAUUUAUACAAACUUAUUAAAAUACAUUUUUUUUAUGUUUGUUUUAAUGGACCCCAAAUGGGGAAAAAACUGCAGUUGCAACAUGACACUAUGCAUUAUGGGUGUUUCUUCUUUUUGCAGGUUCUUAUCAGAAGGUUUGGGGUUUGGUUUCCUCUUUUCCUUCCGCCCCAAGUGUUGAAGUGUCCAUGGACAAGACACUGAGCCCCCACCUCGCUCAUGCAUGAAUCUACCGGAACAGGAGCACAGACGAUCCACCAGGAAUCUGAAGUCUCUCCCGCUCCUCCGGAGGAUAGUGGAGACGAGGAACUAGUGAAUCGCACUGCACCACACAGAAGUCGGAUUCAGGUUUCCGCAGAGACGCCAGCAUUUCGGAUUUCAGCCCCACAGUUGGAGUCCAUGUUUGAGGAAAGUCGGCAGAGCCGUCAGAGCUCAAAGAAGUCUGCAGCUCCUUGAAGAAGUUGGAGGAAAGCAGUUCCUCUGCCUCCCCUUUGAUUUGAUUGUGCUCGCUAAAUACAAGGGACUUAAUCAAGCUUAAAAAUAACAAACAAACAAAUGAAGGCGGUCCUGGGAGAACUCAUUAGAGGCCUUGUCAAACUCCAAGAGACUACAUAAUUACUAUACCAAAAUAAAAAUGCAAAGUUG
Oryzias melastigma (Indian medaka) is the source of this 802-nucleotide long non-coding RNA. RefSeq lists it as uncharacterized. NCBI's taxonomy places the organism in Eukaryota, Metazoa, Chordata, Actinopteri, Beloniformes, Adrianichthyidae. The transcript has 3 exons. The record is from RefSeq and is a predicted model, not a curated record.